GCCUCCGUAGCUCAGUGGUAGAGCUUCCGCCUUGUAAGCGGACGGCCGUCGGUUCAAUCCCGACCGGGGGCUCCA
RNAcentral lists this transfer RNA (75 nucleotides) under Mycobacterium sp. Root265. Its description in RNAcentral is "tRNA-Thr". It matches the Rfam family "tRNA". Rfam says of the family: Transfer RNA (tRNA) molecules are approximately 80 nucleotides in length. Their secondary structure includes four short double-helical elements and three loops (D, anti-codon, and T loops). The record is from RNAcentral. Lineage: Bacteria; Bacillati; Actinomycetota; Actinomycetes; Mycobacteriales; Mycobacteriaceae.